Mangifera indica (mango) is the source of this 614-nucleotide long non-coding RNA. RefSeq lists it as uncharacterized. Lineage: Eukaryota; Viridiplantae; Streptophyta; Magnoliopsida; Sapindales; Anacardiaceae. The transcript is spliced from 2 exons. The record is from RefSeq and is a predicted model, not a curated record.
UGUUGACUUACUUCCCACAGAAAGUGGGGAAAUUUCGGGAUAAAAGAAAAGGAGGCCGGAGGAUCUCGACUAACUGUGAUUAAAACUUCCUAGUCUCAAAAGAUGUUAAAAUGAAAAGGAGCCACGGUCUUGGGUCACUUCCUUCAUAUUCUUUUGUAUGGAGGAAUAACUUUUGCAGAUCCCCAACAAUUCUCUAUUUUUCCAGGACCACCGCUCCGCUCCCCCUCCUUUUCCACCAUGCCACCCUAUAGUCUUCAUAAUACGUGCUUCCUUGGUGGCAGUCAUUUUGCAAGUACCAAAUCCCCCAACCAGAUUUGAUCUUAACUGGGUUUUUAAUGAUGUAAUCUGUAAUAUUGACCUGAAAUUGCUUAUUUUUUACCGCAUAGCAACAACUAUAAGAAAGAUCAGGUAAUGGAGCUGCGUUGAAUAGUACAUAGAAUGAUGGAACAGAGACAGCAAGAAGUUGAAGCAAAGAUUGAUUAAUAAUCAAGCCGAGUUUGUUGAAUGGUCAGAUUUCAAUGCUUGAAAACCUGAUAAAUAAGUGGAAGAGAAAUGGUUACCAAGUUUGAUUGUUAAACUACGAUUUAUAGAAAUAAAAUAAAAUUGUGUACACC